GAAGUCGCCUGUCGAUCAGUUAACCGCUAGUCACCCGCGCGCGCGGUGUUCGUUAGUAGCGUUGUUGCGCGUCGUUGACAGAAAAUUCGCAUCGUGCCAAAGUGUCUCCUUUAUUUUCGCAACUGGCAUAGUAUAAAGGUGUAAAGGUGCCAUAUAUGAUAAAUGAAUCUAAAUUACAAAACUGACUGUGACAAUAGGCCGGUUGUUAAUUGGCUGCAAAAUGAAUUCCAGCAAAGAGGCAAAGAGCACCGUGAAGGGACAAAAGAAGUUACAAAAGACCAACAAAAAGCAGCAACAGAAACAACAGCUGCAGCAACAGCAACAACAGCAGCAACAGCAGCAACAACAACAGCAGCAGCAACAGCCAACCAUAAAUAGUACUAAGAACGGGAUCUGUAAAGCUGCCACGAAUGCAAAACUCAAGCCCAACGAUUCAAAGGCCAAUAAUCGCAGCAGCACCAACAACAACAACAAUAGCAACAACAACAACAACAACAUGGUGCACAAGAACAACAAUUCGCAAUCGAUGAGCGGAACAACAGCUGCAGCGACACCAAACAUUACGCAAAUGUUUAAGGAACAGUACGAUGCAGAGCGACGUGCCACAAUGUCACAGGUGGAUUCAGUGCCCAAGAUGGAGCGUACGCAUAGCUUUCGGAUGAAGAUGUCCAAGUUCUUUAACAACUUCACUGGCAGCAAGGAGAAUCUGGCGCGCAGCGACGAGUCCAAAGAUGAGGCGGGCAAAACGCCGUUCACGUUCACGCGAAGUCGUUCGAUGAUAUUGCUGCGACGUCCGAAUCGGCGCAGUUUUAUUGAGCCGCAGCUGGAGCAGCUGUCGGAGGAGGCGGAGAAGUCGGGUGAUCCACUGAUGCCAGCAUCGCCGCGCAAGAAUUCGCUGGCCGAGGACGGCGCAACCAAUACCAGCUGUUCGCCCAUAUUGCGACGCCGUGCGGACACCUCCAGCUCAAUAAAUACGCCAGCUCGACGGCAGUCCACACAGGCGCUGACCUCCACACCCGUCGAGGACUCCGCGGAGGCAUCCAUGCAGCGCAAGCCAUCGCUUAUAUCACUGACACCUGCCGAAAGCAACUACAAUCCGCAGCUCAACUUUCAGAAACGUCGCUCCAGCACGCUCAUCGCGUCGUUCAAGAGCACGCUGAUUGGGCUGACGGAGAAGCCAGAGAAGAAGGAGAAGAAAGACAAAAAAGACAAGCUGAAUCCCAAGUGGAGCGCCUCGCUGCAAUCGCUGCAAGCGAUUGAUAACAUGGUCAGCUAUGCCAAUAUGUCAUUCAUUGACUACGACAAGUUCAAUGGCUAUGAGAAGCAGCUGGAGCGCCAGCAGUCCAUCAUGAGUCUAGCCGAGCAGCAGAUGCCCCCCGCCCACACGCUCCAGUUGCCAUUGACCACCCACCACUCGCAGCUCAACUCAUCCUCGCCCCUGGGCGAACUAAGUGGGAGUGCAGCUGGAGCUGGGACUGUCAGUCUGCCCUUGCCGCACACGCCCUCCUUCGUGGGCUCCUCAUCCAUGGAGAGCACGCCGAAGACAGUGGUGAUGCGACGCAAGCGAAGCAGCAGCUCGGCGCUCGCGCGCCAGCAGUCCGCCUCGACGCGCAACAGCAGCCAGAGUUCCUUUAACCUGGAUACGGACUUCGAGCACAACCUGGACAGAGUUCACAAUGUCUAUCGCGAAAGCCUGGACUCACGCACCCUGGAGCUGCUCAAUCAGCGUUCGCGCAACUCCUUCAUUCAGGACCAGCCAAUGCUCUUCGACGCCCUCAACCUGGAGGAUGGCUCUGCGAACCGGCGCUGUGCGCUCUGCGCCCAGAGUGUCGCGAGAGCCAACAGCUUCAAGCAGCAGCGCGACGCGGUGGAUGGGCGCGGGAAGCCCAAAAUACAGGUAAUUGAAAUCCAUAUGGCAUACUCCAUCCAAGAUAUUUAUGUGCGCGUGUGUGUGUGUGAAGACGUAACGCAACGAAGCGAGCAACAAAUAAUUUUUCAAAAAUAAAUGUACGGUAAGAGGCAGGCACUCGCUAUAAGGAAGAAAGCGCGCAAAAAGUAUAAAUAAGCCGAUAUCAAAAUGCUUUUAAACUAACUAAGCUAAUCAACAAUUAACCAACUUAAAUGAACUAAUUAAGCAAUAGAAUGCAUAUAAAUAAUAUAUAGUUUUAACACUUAAAAUAGGGCACAAGCGAAUUCGAAUAAUUCAUUGUGUCUCUGUUGGGGAAAACCAAACGCUUCUUAACUUAAUGAGUGUAAAGUUAAUUACAAAUUAAGAGCGAAUUAAGUCUAUUGAGUCAUCCUGAAGCCAA
Molecule: unclassified non-coding RNA, 2309 nt
Organism: Drosophila arizonae
Lineage: Eukaryota; Metazoa; Arthropoda; Insecta; Diptera; Drosophilidae
Source: RefSeq, a predicted model, not a curated record